RNAcentral lists this ribosomal RNA (506 nucleotides) under uncultured bacterium. RNAcentral describes it as "partial 16S ribosomal RNA". It matches the Rfam family "Bacterial small subunit ribosomal RNA", at positions 28 to 523 of the family's 1533-position model. The record is from RNAcentral.
GAUGAACGCUAGCUACAGGCUUAACACAUGCAAGUCGAGGGGUAACGAGAGGAAAGCUUGCUUUCCUUGUCGACGACCGGCGCACGGGUGAGUAACGCGUAUCCAACCUGCCCCCAACUAGGGAAUAACCUUGCGAAAGUAAGACUAAUACCCUAUAAUUUCCUCAGAUGUCAUCUGACGAGGAAUAAAGAUUUAUCGGUUGUGGAUGGGGAUGCGUCUGAUUAGCUUGUUGGCGGGGUAACGGCCCACCAAGGCAACGAUCAGUAGGGGUUCUGAGAGAAAGGUCCCCACCAUUGGAACUGAGACACGGUCCAAACUCCUACGGGAGGCAGCAGUGAGGAAUAUUGGUCAAUGGGCGGAAGCCUGAACCAGCCAAGUAGCGUGCAGGAUGACGGCCCUAUGGGUUGUAAACUGCUUUUAUACAGGAAUAAAGUUAGCCACGUGUGGUUAUUUGUAGGUACUGUACGAAUAAGGACCGGCUAAUUCCGUACCAGCCGCCGCAGUAA